This is a long non-coding RNA of Armigeres subalbatus, 473 nucleotides long. RefSeq lists it as uncharacterized. The record is from RefSeq and is a predicted model, not a curated record. The transcript is spliced from 2 exons. NCBI's taxonomy places the organism in Eukaryota, Metazoa, Arthropoda, Insecta, Diptera, Culicidae.
GUCGCGAAGCUCAUCGAAAACAAAAUUGUCAACAACAAUAUCGCAACAAUAUUUACUGUUUCGUGGAUUUUUUCCUAUUUUGAGAUCGUUCUGUUCUCUGAAGAUCUCCGGAAAAGCGGUCCCGGAACGAGUGACUGGAAUAGAACGGCACAAUCAAGCAACAGAUUUUCCAGAAGUGCUUGUAUCAAACCUGAAAACAGCUUGCUUCAUGCCUUUCCCAAGGUUGGUUCUGGCCUUCGGGCAUAAAAUGGAUUGUUGCUUUUACGUGCGAAGAAACAUCCAAAGAACCUCACGGAAUGGAAGAUCGGUUUCUGGUAAUUAUGAUCAUGAAAACAUCUAUGGCGGCGCAUUAUUUAUCAAUGUCUGCAAUACUCCACCGACGAGCAACCUUGAGGGUAUUUUACGGCGCUGUUAUACAUUGUAAAGGUUAUUUAAAACGCGAUUUAAAAUCAUGAAAUAAAACAUUAAGAACA